Molecule: ribosomal RNA, 253 nt
Filed under: uncultured bacterium
Lineage: Bacteria
Description: partial 16S ribosomal RNA
Rfam family: Bacterial small subunit ribosomal RNA
Source: RNAcentral
UACGAAGGGUGCAAGCGUUAAUCGGAAUUACUGGGCGUAAAGCGUGCGUAGGCGGUUUGUUAAGUCUGUUGUGAAAUCCCCGGGCUCAACCUGGGAAUGGCAAUGGAUACUGGCAAGCUAGAGUGUGUCAGAGGAUGGUGGAAUUCCCGGUGUAGCGGUGAAAUGCGUAGAGAUCGGGAGGAACAUCAGUGGCGAAGGCGGCCAUCUGGGACAACACUGACGCUGAGGCACGAAAGCCAGGGGAGCAAACGGG